CCGACUGCUGGGCAGUAGCGGCGGGAAUAGGUGGGGGGCUCGCGUGGUGCGGAUUCUUUGGGCGUAAAAGGUGCGUGGGCGGUGCGGGAAUUCGGGUGGGAAAUCUCCGCGCUCAACGCGGAGCGGCCACCUGAUACUGCCGAGCCUCGAGUCCGGUAGGGGAGUGUGGAAUUCCCGGUGUAGCGGUGAAAUGCGCAGAUAUCGGGAGGAACACCAGUAGCGGAGGCGGCACUCUGGGCCGUGACUGACGCUGAGGAGCGAAAGCGUGGGUAGCAAACAGGAUUAGAUACCCUUGUAGUC
Molecule: ribosomal RNA, 300 nt
Filed under: uncultured Neomoorella sp.
Lineage: Bacteria; Bacillati; Bacillota; Clostridia; Neomoorellales; Neomoorellaceae
Description: bacterial SSU rRNA
Rfam family: Bacterial small subunit ribosomal RNA
Source: RNAcentral